AGAGUUUGAUCAUGGCUCAGAACGAACGCUGGCGGCAGGCCUAACACAUGCAAGUCGAGCGCACCUUCGGGUGAGCGGCGGACGGGUUAGUAACGCGUGGGAACGUGCCCUUCUCUAAGGAAUAGCCACUGGAAACGGUGAGUAAUACCUUAUACGCCCUUCGGGGGAAAGAUUAAUCGGAGAAGGAUCGGCCCGCGUUAGAUUAGAUAGUUGGUGGGGUAACGGCCUACCAAGUCUACGAUCUAUAGCUGGUUUUAGAGGAUGAUCAGCAACACUGGGACUGAGACACGGCCCAGACUCCUACGGGAGGCAGCAGUGGGGAAUCUUGGACAAUGGGCGCAAGCCUGAUCCAGCCAUGCCGCGUGAGUGAUGAAGGCCUUAGGGUCGUAAAGCUCUUUCGCCAGGGAUGAUAAUGACAGUACCUGGUAAAGAAACCCCGGCUAACUCCGUGCCAGCAGCCGCGGUAAUACGGAGGGGGUUAGCGUUGUUCGGAAUUACUGGGCGUAAAGCGUACGUAGGCGGAUUAGUCAGUCAGAGGUGAAAUCCCAGGGCUCAACCCUGGAACUGCCUUUGAUACUGCUAGUCUUGAGUUCGAGAGAGGUGAGUGGAAUUCCGAGUGUAGAGGUGAAAUUCGUAGAUAUUCGGAAGNAACACCAGUGGCGAAGGCGGCUCACUGGCUCGAUACUGACGCUGAGGUACGA
This 701-nucleotide ribosomal RNA is filed under the name uncultured Alphaproteobacteria bacterium. RNAcentral describes it as "bacterial SSU rRNA". It matches the Rfam family "Bacterial small subunit ribosomal RNA", at positions 8 to 756 of the family's 1533-position model. Lineage: Bacteria; Pseudomonadati; Pseudomonadota; Alphaproteobacteria. The record is from RNAcentral.